GAUGAACGCUGGCGGCGUGCCUAAUACAUGCAAGUCGAGCGAACGGACGAGAAGCUUGCUUUUCUGAUGUUAGCGGCGGACGGGCGAGUAACACGUGGAUAACCUACCUAUAAGACUGGGAUAACUUCGGGGAACCGGAGCUAAUACCGGAUAAUAUUUUGAACCGCAUGGUUCAAAAGUGAAAGACGGUCUUGCUGUCACUUAUAGAUGGAUCCGCGCUGCAUUAGCUAGUUGGUAAGGUAACGGCUUACCAAGGCAACGAUGCAUAGCCGACCUGAGAGGGUGAUCGGCCACACUGGAACUGAGACACGGUCCAGACUCCUACGGGAGGCAGCAGUAGGGAAUCUUCCGCAAUGGGCGAAAGCCUGACGGAGCAACGCCGCGUGAGUGAUGAAGGUCUUCGGAUCGUAAAACUCUGUUAUUAGGGAAGAACAUAUGUGUAAGUAACUGUGCACAUCUUGACGGUACCUAAUCAGAAAGCCACGGCUAACUACGUG
This 497-nucleotide ribosomal RNA is filed under the name uncultured bacterium. RNAcentral describes it as "partial 16S ribosomal RNA". It matches the Rfam family "Bacterial small subunit ribosomal RNA", at positions 28 to 507 of the family's 1533-position model. The record is from RNAcentral.